This is a small nuclear RNA of Cricetulus griseus (Chinese hamster), 105 nucleotides long. The record is from Ensembl. Lineage: Eukaryota; Metazoa; Chordata; Mammalia; Rodentia; Cricetidae.
UGUAUUGGCGGCAUGUAUCAUAUAUUGAAGUUGGAACAAUACAGAGAAUAUUAGCAAGGCCGCUGCAAGGAUGUUCAACAAAUUCAUGAAGCAUUCCAUAUUUUU